UACAGAGGGUGCGAGCGUUAAUCGGAAUUACUGGGCGUAAAGCGUGCGUAGACGGUUUCGUAAGUCGGGUGUGAAAUCCCCGGGCUCAACCUGGGAAUUGCAUUCGAAACUGCGAGGCUAGGGUACGGAAGAGGGAAGCGGAAUUUCUGGUGUAGCGGUGAAAUGCGUAGAUAUCGUAAGGAAGACCAGUGGCGAAGGCGGGUCUCUGGACAGUUCCUGACGCUGAGGCACGAAGGCCAGGGGAGCAAACGGG
RNAcentral lists this ribosomal RNA (253 nucleotides) under uncultured prokaryote. Its description in RNAcentral is "partial 16S ribosomal RNA". It matches the Rfam family "Bacterial small subunit ribosomal RNA", at positions 524 to 776 of the family's 1533-position model. The record is from RNAcentral.